This 850-nucleotide ribosomal RNA is filed under the name Acinetobacter pittii. RNAcentral describes it as "bacterial SSU rRNA". It matches the Rfam family "Bacterial small subunit ribosomal RNA", at positions 46 to 885 of the family's 1533-position model. Lineage: Bacteria; Pseudomonadati; Pseudomonadota; Gammaproteobacteria; Moraxellales; Moraxellaceae. The record is from RNAcentral.
GCUCACCAUGGCAAGGUGCGAGCGUGAGAGAGGUAGCUUGCUACUGAUCUUAGCGGCGGACGGGUGGAGUACUGUUUAGGAAUCUGCCUAUUAGUGGGGGACAACAUUUCGAAAGGAAUGCUAAUACCGCAUACGUCCUACGGGAGAAAGCAGGGGAUCUUCGGACCUUGCGCUAAUAGAUGAGCCUAAGUCGGAUUAGCUAGUUGGUGGGGUAAAGGCCUACCAAGGCGACGAUCUGUAGCGGGUCUGAGAGGAUGAUCCGCCACACUGGGACUGAGACACGGCCCAGACUCCUACGGGAGGCAGCAGUGGGGAAUAUUGGACAAUGGGCGCAAGCCUGAUCCAGCCAUGCCGCGUGUGUGAAGAAGGCCUUAUGGUUGUAAAGCACUUUAAGCGAGGAGGAGGCUACUUUAGUUAAUACCUAGAGAUAGUGGACGUUACUCGCAGAAUAAGCACCGGCUAACUCUGUGCCAGCAGCCGCGGUAAUACAGAGGGUGCAAGCGUUAAUCGGAUUUACUGGGCGUAAAGCGCGCGUAGGCGGCUAAUUAAGUCAAAUGUGAAAUCCCCGAGCUUAACUUGGGAAUUGCAUUCGAUACUGGUUAGCUAGAGUGUGGGAGAGGAUGGUAGAAUUCCAGGUGUAGCGGUGAAAUGCGUAGAGAUCUGGAGGAAUACCGAUGGCGAAGGCAGCCAUCUGGCCUAACACUGACGCUGAGGUGCGAAAGCAUGGGGGAGCAAACAGGAUUAGAUACCCUGGUAGUCCAUGCCGUAAACGAUGUCUACUAGCCGUUGGGGCCUUUGAGGGCUUUAGUGGCGCAGCUAACGCGAUAAGUAGACCGCCUGGGGAGUACGG